RNAcentral lists this long non-coding RNA (345 nucleotides) under Ictidomys tridecemlineatus (thirteen-lined ground squirrel). Its description in RNAcentral is "lncRNA (ENSSTOG00000032844.1)". The record is from RNAcentral. Lineage: Eukaryota; Metazoa; Chordata; Mammalia; Rodentia; Sciuridae.
AGUAGUUUCUAGAAGAGACAAGUAGCUAAGAAGUGACAGAGACAUGGUGUGGAUCCGGGUGUUCUAGCCUCAAAGCUCCUACUUGUAAAUACCUGAUCACUUCUUCGUGUGUGUCCAGAGGAAUAAAAUGAGGUUGAGAGAAAGCUUCCCCUGGAGAAUCGGCACCAUAAGAUAGUCUUGUCAGUGAGUGGACUCCACCACCAGCAAAGCCAGGACCUAUCACUACAUCCAUGUGAAUGGCUUGCAGGUGACACAGGUGUGUGACCACCCACUGACCAUUGCACUCCAAAAGAAGCAGACAUUACUUCUGAGGAACAGCCCCUCAUGGACCCUAUGCUAAUCAAU